GUUAUGGAUUUCAGUUUAUGGGGGGUAGUAUGGGAUCCGUAGUAGGUGAAAAAAUCACACGUUUGGCUGAGUAUGCUACCAAUAAACUUUUACCUCUUAUUCUAGUGUGUGCUUCCGGAGGAGCCCGCAUGCAAGAAGGAAGUUUGAGCUUAAUGCAAAUGGCUAAAAAUAUCUUCCGUUUUAUAUGAUUAUCAAUCAAAUAAAAAAUUAUUUUAUGUCGCAGUUCUUACAUCCCCCUACCACGGGUGGGGUGACGGCUAGUUUUGGUAUGUUGGGAGAUAUCAUUAUUGCUGAACCCAACGCUUACAUUGCAUUUGCAGGUAAAAGAGUAAUUGAACAAACAUUGAAUAAGACAGUUACCCGAGGAUUCACAAGUGGCUGAAUAUUUAUUCCAUAAGGGCUUAUUCGAUCCAAUCGUACCACGUAAUCCUUUAAAGGACGUUCUGAGUGAAUUAUUUCGACUACAUGCUUUCUUCCUUUGGAUCAAACUUAGAUUAAAUAGAGUCUGUAGAGUAUAGUCUUAAUUUUAAAUUUAUUUUUAAAUUUAAAUUAAUAAAUAAAACAGAAUAAAUUUUUUGAAAUGAAAAUUAUUAAAUUAUAAGACAAGUUAUAAGACAAGAGCACGACAAUAACUAAUAAUAUGAAUAAUAAAAAGGUGGAUUAUCAUACAUAUAUAUUUCGUGUAGAAACGUGUAGAAAGGUGAAUAAGUCCGUUUAUUUACAUAUUUUUUAGUUACUACAUUUUUUUAUUGAAUACUUAUAAAAAAAAAUUCAAUAAAACA
This is an RNA transcript of Fragaria vesca subsp. vesca, 782 nucleotides long. It is a transcript of the gene named acetyl-coenzyme A carboxylase carboxyl transferase subunit beta, chloroplastic-like, with no coding region annotated. NCBI's taxonomy places the organism in Eukaryota, Viridiplantae, Streptophyta, Magnoliopsida, Rosales, Rosaceae. The record is from RefSeq and is a predicted model, not a curated record. The transcript has a single exon.